UACAGAGGGUGCGAGCGUUAAUCGGAAUUACUGGGCGUAAAGCGUGCGUAGACGGUUAUCUAAGUCGGGUGUGAAAUCCCCGGGCUCAACCUGGGAAUUGCAUUCGAGACUGAAUAGCUAGGGUUCGGAAGAGGGAAGCGGAAUUUCCGGUGUAGCGGUGAAAUGCGUAGAUAUCGGAAGGAACAUCAGUGGCGAAAGCGGCUUCCUGGUCCAGAACCGACGUUCAGGCACGAAAGCGUGGGGAGCAAACAGG
Molecule: ribosomal RNA, 253 nt
Filed under: uncultured bacterium
Lineage: Bacteria
Also listed under: 1 other name
Description: partial 16S ribosomal RNA
Rfam family: Bacterial small subunit ribosomal RNA
Source: RNAcentral